CGGGACACGUGGUAUCCUGUCUGAAUAUGGGGGGACCAUCCUCCAAGGCUAAAUACUCCUGACUGACCGAUAGUGAACCAGUACCGUGAGGGAAAGGCGAAAAGAACCCCGGCGAGGGGAGUGAAAAAGAACCUGAAACCGUGUACGUACAAGCAGUGGGAGCCUCUUUAUGGGGUGACUGCGUACCUUUUGUAUAAUGGGUCAGCGACUUAUAUUCUGUAGCAAGGUUAACCGAAUAGGGGAGCCGAAGGGAAACCGAGUCUUAACUGGGCGUUAAGUUGCAGGGUAUAGACCCGAAACCCGGUGAUCUAGCCAUGGGCAGGUUGAAGGUUGGGUAACACUAACUGGAGGACCGAACCGACUAAUGUUGAAAAAUUAGCGGAUGACUUGUGGCUGGGGGUGAAAGGCCAAUCAAACCGGGAGAUAGCUGGUUCUCCCCGAAAGCUAUUUAGGUAGCGCCUCGUGAAUUCAUCUCCGGGGGUAGAGCACUGUUUCGGCAAGGGGGUCAUCCCGACUUACCAACCCGAUGCAAACUGCGAAUACCGGAGAAUGUUAUCACGGGAGACACACGGCGGGUGCUAACGUCCGUCGUGAAGAGGGAAACAACCCAGACCGCCAGCUAAGGUCCCAAAGUCAUGGUUAAGUGGGAAACGAUGUGGGAAGGCCCAGACAGCCAGGAUGUUGGCUUAGAAGCAGCCAUCAUUUAAAGAAAGCGUAAUAGCUCACUGGUCGAGUCGGCCUGCGCGGAAGAUGUAACGGGGCUAAACCAUGCACCGAAGCUGCGGCAG
Molecule: ribosomal RNA, 788 nt
Filed under: Escherichia coli
Lineage: Bacteria; Pseudomonadati; Pseudomonadota; Gammaproteobacteria; Enterobacterales; Enterobacteriaceae
Description: partial 23S ribosomal RNA
Rfam family: Bacterial large subunit ribosomal RNA
Source: RNAcentral